CGAGAGGACCGGGAUGGACGCACCGCUGGUGCAUCGGUUGUUCCGCCAGGAGCACGGCCGAGCAGCUAAGUGCGGAUUGGAUAAACGCUGAAAGCAUCUAAGCGUGAAGCCAUCUCCAAGAUAAGAUUUCCCAUAGCAUAAGCUAGUAAGACCCCAUGUGGACUACGUGGUUGAUAGGCUGCAGGUGUAAGCACGGUGACGUGUUCAGCUUGGCAGUACUAAUAGGUCGAGGGCUUGACCAU
Molecule: ribosomal RNA, 242 nt
Filed under: Clostridia bacterium
Lineage: Bacteria; Bacillati; Bacillota; Clostridia
Description: partial 23S ribosomal RNA
Rfam family: Bacterial large subunit ribosomal RNA
Source: RNAcentral